UACAGAGGGGGCAAGCGUUAUUCGGAAUUAUUGGGCGUAAAGGGCGCGUAGGCGGCCUGGCAAGUGGAAGGUGAAAUCCCUCGGCUUAACCGAGGAACUGCCCUCCAAACUGCUUGGCUUGAGUCCGGGAGAGGUGAGUGGAAUUCCCAGUGUAGCGGUGAAAUGCGUAGAUAUUCGGAAGAACACCAGUGGCGAAGGCGGCUCACUGGCCCGGUACUGACGCUGAUGUGCGAAAGCGUGGGGAGCAAACAGG
RNAcentral lists this ribosomal RNA (253 nucleotides) under uncultured bacterium. Its description in RNAcentral is "partial 16S ribosomal RNA". It matches the Rfam family "Bacterial small subunit ribosomal RNA", at positions 524 to 776 of the family's 1533-position model. The record is from RNAcentral.